This 1292-nucleotide long non-coding RNA is filed under the name Anas platyrhynchos platyrhynchos (common mallard). Its description in RNAcentral is "lncRNA (ENSAPLG00000016685.1)". The record is from RNAcentral. Lineage: Eukaryota; Metazoa; Chordata; Aves; Anseriformes; Anatidae.
UGUCCCAGGACCUCAAUGUCUUUCAUGUACUGAGGGGCCCAAAGCUGAACACAGCACUCGAGGUGUGGCCUCACCAGAGCAGAGCACAGGGGGAUGAUCACCUCCCUGCUCCUGCUGGUUGCGCUACUCCUGACACAAGCCAGGAUGCUGUUGGCCUUCUUGGCCACCUGGGCACACUGCUGGAUCAUGUUCAGGUGAGCAUCGACCAACACCCCCAGAUCCCUUUUUUUCUGGGUAGCAGCUUUUGAGCCACUCUGCCCCAAGCAUGUAGUGUUGCAUGGGCUUGUACCUGGUUUUGUAUACCAAAAAGUGAUCUCUUGGGUGGAGCACAGAAGUCUUAGCACUGAGACUCUGGUGUGACAUAGGGCACUUGUAGUCCCAUUGCCUUUUCCAUAAACUGAGCCUGAUUGUUUUGCCAGAUAUCUGACAUCUUGAAUUAAUGUAUUUGCUAAUUUUUGUGUGCAUUUGCUGUUGUUCUUUUGUAAAAGUGUGCCAAAUAACAAUUUCUGCUAGUUGCCCUUCAGCUGAUUCUUGUCAUCAUCAUUGUAGCAGUAUGCGUUGAAGAUCCUUGAAAAGGGAAAGUGACAUAGUCUAAAGAUCAGCCUGAGGAAGCUUUUGCAUAAAGGGCAAUGCAAUGGAAAAGCACGAAGCAUUUGGGGAAGAAAUGGGCAAAGUAUUUUGCUGAUAGUGAAAACGAGGGGUGUUAGUUACCUUUGUGCUGACUAACAUUUCCCUCUACCAGUCCAGCUUAUGUCCUUCCAUGUCCUUCCUCUGUGCCUAAUCCAUCUCUGUUUUCCAUCAUCUUCUCACUAUAUAAACCUUAUUACUGUAACCACUGUCCCCCUGUCUGCUCCUGCAAAAAAUAAGAUGCAAAAGUGAAGUCAGCUGUACUUAAUAGUGUUAAAUAGGUGGUGGGGUUUUAAAAGGGUGGGAGGGAAAUGUGUAGCCAUAGGAUCAGAGGCAAAAGUUCGAAGGCUUCAAAACCAAUCACUGAGUUUAGAAAGCAUGAAAGAUGUUCAAGGAAAGGAAACAGUUUUUGGUGGUGUCUGUGGAAGGAAGAGAUGAUUGAAGCUGCAAUACAGGAGACUGUUUUCCCUUAGAAACUGAGCUGGGAGGAGAAAUUCAAUACUCAGGAAUCUUCUGAAUACUGAAGGAGAGAAAGAAAAGACACUAAACGCCGCGGUGCUGUGAAAGGGGAUAGCUUUCAGGAGAUGCUACGGGAGAGGUGCCACGCUAAAGCAAGAUGGAGUGCAGCAACAAGUCCGGUGCCUUCCAGCGCCCGUUCUUUCCCC